AACCUUCGGGAGCUUAUUUUUGGGCGCGGCUUUGCCCGCGGCUUAUUUUUGGCACCCCGAGGCCCCUCGCAAAGUCUCGCCCCAUUCCGAGUCCGGCGGCCGAACUUCGCCCGCGCCCCCCACCAAGGCUAUAGCCCACCCGUUUUUUGGCCAUUUUUCCGCUGGGGGGUUUUGGCACCACGAACUUCGGGUGGUUAUUUUUGGGCGCGGCUGUGCCCGCGACUUCCCGCGGGCACCCCGAGGCCCCUCGCAAAGUCUCGCCCCAUUCUGAGUCCGGCGGACGAACUUCGCCCGCGCCCCCCACCAAGGCUAUAGCCCACCCGUUUUUUGGCCAUUUUUCCGCUGGGGGGUUUUGGCACCACGACCUUCGGGCGCUUAUUUUUGGGCGCGGCUGUGCACGCGACUUCCCGCGGGCACCCCGAGGCCCCUCGCACAUUCUCGCCCCAUUCCGUGUCCGGCGGACGAACUUCGCCCGCGCCCCCCACCAAGGACAUAGCCCACCCGUUUUUUGGCCAUUUUUCCGCUGGGGGGUUUUGGCACCACGACCUUCGGGAGCUUAUUUUUGGGCGCGGCUUUGCCCGCGGCUUAUUUUUGGCACCCCGAGGCCCCUCGCAAAGUCUCGCCCCAUUCCGAGUCCGGCGGCCGAACUUCGCCCGCGCCCCCCACCAAGGCUAUAGCCCACCCGUUUUUUGGCCAUUUUUCCGCUGGGGGGUUUUGGCACCACGAACUUCGGGUGGUUAUUUUUGGGCGCGGCUGUGCCCGCGACUUCCCGCGGGCACCCCGAGGCCCCUCGCAAAGUCUCGCCGCAUUCCGAUUCCGGCGGACGAACUUCGCCGCGCCCCCCACCAAUGCUAUAGCCCACCCGUUUUUUGGCCAUUUUUCCGCUGGGGGUUUUGGCACCGCGACCUUCGGGCGCUUAUUUUUGGGGGCAGCUUUGCCCGCGGCUUACUUUUGGUACACCGAGGCCCCUCGCAAAGUCUCGCCCCAUUCCGAGUCCGGCGGACGAACUUCGCCCGCGCCCCCCACCAAGGCUAUAGCCCACCCAUUUUUUGGCCAUUUUUCCGCUGGGGGGUUUUGGCACCACGACCUUCGGGCGCUUAUUUUUGGGCGCGGCUUUGCCCGCGGCUUAUUUUUGGCACACCGAGGCCCCGCGCAAAGUCUCGCCCCAUUCCGAGUCCGGCAGACGAACUUCGCCCGCGCCCCCCACCAAGGCUAUAGCCCACCCGUUUUUUGGCCAUUUUUCCGCUGGGGGGUUUUGGCACCAUGACCUUCGGGCCCUUGUUUUUGGGCGCGGCUGUGCCCGUGACUUCCCGCGGGCACCCCGAGGCCCCUCGCAAAGUCUCGCCCCAUUCCGAGUCCGGCGGACGAACUUCGCCGGCGCCCCCCACCAAGGCUAUAGCCCACCCGUUUUUUGGCCAUUUUUCCGCUGGGGUGUUUUGGCACCACGACGUUCGGGCUCUUAUUUUUGGGCGCGGCUGUGCCCGCGACUUCCCGCGGGCACCCCGAGGCCCCUCGCAAAGUCUCGCCCCAUUCCGAGUCCGGCGGACGAACUUCGCCCGCGCCCCCCACCAAGGCUAUAGCCCACCCGUUUUUUGGCCAUUUUUCCGCUGGGGGGUUUUGGCACCACGACCUUCGGGAGCUUAUUCUUGGGCGCGGCUUUGCCCGCGGCUUAUUUUUGGCACCCCGAGGCCCCUCGCAAAGUCUCGCCCCAUUCCGAGUCCGGCGGACGAACUUCGCCCGCGCCCCCCAAUGCUAUAGCCCACCCGUUUUUUGGCCAUUUUUCCGCUCGGGGGUUUUGGCACCACGCCCUUCGGGCGCUUAUUUUUGGGCGCGGCUGUGCCCGCGACUUCCUGCGGGCACCCCGAGGCCCCUCGCAAAGUCUCGCCCCAUUCCGAGUCCGGCGGACGAACUUCGCCCGCGCCCCCCACCAGAGCUAUAGCCCACCCGUUUUUUGGCCAUUUUUCCGCUGGGGGGUUUUGGCACCACGACCUUCGAGCGCUUAUUUUUGGGCGCGGCUUUCCCCGCGGCUUAUUUUUGGCACCCCGAGGCCCCUCGCAAAGUCUCGCCCCAUUCCGAGUCCGGUGGACGAACUUCGCCCGCGCCACCCACCAAGGCUAUAGCCCACCCAUUUUUUGGCCAUUUUUCCGCUGGGGGGUUUUGGCACCACGACCUUCGGGAGCUUAUUUUUGGGCGCGGCUUUGCCCGCGGCUUAUUUUUGGCACCCCGAGGCCCCUCGCAAAGUCUCGCCCCAUUCCGAGUCUGGCGGACGAACUUCGCCCGCGGCCCCCACCAAGGCUAUAGCCUACCUGUUUUUUGGCCAUUUUUCCGCUGGGGGGUUUUGGCACCACGACCUUCGGGUACUUAUUUUUGGGCGCGGCUGUGCCCGCGACUUCCCGCGGGCACCCUGAGGCCCCUCGCAAAGUCUCGCCCCAUUCCGAGUCCGGCGGACGAACUUCGCCCGCGCCCCCCACCAAGGCUAUAGCCCACCCAUUUUUUGGCCAUUUUUCCGCUGGGGGGUUUUGGCACCACGACCUUCGGGCGCUUAUUUUUGGGCACGGCUGUGCACGCGACUUCCCGCGGGCACCCCGAGGCCCCUCGCAAAUUCUCGCCCCAUUCCGAGUCCGGCGGACGAACUUCGCCCGCGCCCUCCACCAAGGACAUAGCCCACCCGUUUUUUGGCCAUUUUUCCGCUGGGGGAUUUUGGCACCACGACCUUCGGGAGCUUAUUUUUGGGCGCGGCUUUGCCCGUGGCUUAUUUUUGGCACCCCGAGGCCCCUCGCAAUGUCUCGCCCCAUUCCGAGUCCGGCGGACGAACUUCGCCCGCGCCCCCCACCAAGGCUAUAGCCCACCCGUUUUUUGGCCAUUUUUCCGUUGGGGGGUUUUGGCACCACGAACAUCGGGUGCUUAUUUUUGGGCGCGGCUGUGCUCGCGACUUCCCGCGGGCACCCCGAGGCCCCUCGCAAAGUCUCGCCCCAUUCCGAUUCCGGCGAACGAACUUCGCCGCGCCCCCUACCAAGGCUAUAGCCCACCCAUUUUUUGGCCAUUUUUCCGCUGGGGGGUUUUGGCACCACGACCUUCGGGCGCUUAUUUUUGGGCGCGGCUUUGCCCGCGGCUUAUUUUUGGCACCCCGAGGCCCCUCGCAAUGUCUCGCCCCAUUCCGAGUCCGGCGGACGAACUUCGCCCGCGCCCCCCACCAAGGGUAUAGCCCACCCGUUUUUUGGCCCUUUUUCCGUUGGGGGGUUUGGCACCACGAACAUCGGGUGCUUAUUUUUGGGCGCGGCUGUGCCCGCGACUUCCCGCGGGCACCCCGAGGCCCCUCGCAAAGUCUCGCCCCAUUCUGAUUCCGGCGAACGAAAUUCGCCGCGCCCCCUACCAAGGCUAUAGCCCACCCGUUUUUUGGCCAUUUUUCCGCUGGGGGGUUUUGGCACCAGGACCUUCGGGUGCUUAUUUUUGGGCGCGGCUGUGCCCGUGACUUCCCGCGGGCACCCCGAGGCCCCUCGCAAAGUCUCGCCCCAUUCCGAGUCCGGCGGACGAACUUCGCCCGCGCCCCCCACCAAGGCUAUAGCCCACCCGUUUUUUGGCCAUUUUUCCGCUGGGGUGUUUUGCCACCACGACCUUCGGGCUCUUAUUUUUGGGCGCGGCUGUGCCCGCGACUUCCCGCGGGCACCCCGAGGCCCCUCGCAAAGUCUCGCCCCAUUCCGAGUCCGGCGGACGAACUUCGCCCGCGCCCCCCACCAAGGCUAUAGCCCACCCGUUUUUUGGCCAUUUUUCCUCUGGGGGGUUUUGGCACCACGACCUUCGGGCGCUUAUUUUUGGGCGCGGCUUUGCCCGCGGCUUAUUUUUGGCACCCCGAGGCCCCUCGCAAAGUCUCGCCCCAUUCCGAGUCCGGCGGACGAACUUCGCCCGCGCCUACCACCAAGGCUAUAGCCCACCCGUUUUUUGGCCAUUUUUCCGCUGGGGGGUUUUGGCUCCACGACCUUCGGGCGCUUAUUUUUGGGCGCGGCUUUGCCCGCGGCUUAUUUUUGGCACUCCGAGGCCCCUCGCAAAGUCUCGCCCCAUUCCGAGUCCGGCGGAUGAACUUCGCCCGCGCCCCCCACCAAGGCUAUAGCCCACCCGUUUUUUGGCCAUUUUUCCGCUGGGGUGUUUUGGCACCACGACCU
This 4160-nucleotide long non-coding RNA is filed under the name Citrus x clementina. RNAcentral's name for it is "Citrus clementina (C. clementina) long non-coding RNA (CCLE_LNC000001)". Lineage: Eukaryota; Viridiplantae; Streptophyta; Magnoliopsida; Sapindales; Rutaceae. The record is from RNAcentral.